AUUGAACUGACAUGUCCCGAAUAGGACGAAACGCGCGUCCUGUAU
RNAcentral lists this non-coding RNA (45 nucleotides) under Schistosoma mansoni. Lineage: Eukaryota; Metazoa; Platyhelminthes; Trematoda; Strigeidida; Schistosomatidae. The record is from RNAcentral.